AGGACGAACGCUGGCGGCGUGCUUAACACAUGCAAGUCGAGCGGAAAGGCCCUUCGGGGUACUCGAGCGGCGAACGGGUGAGUAACACGUGAGCAACCUGCCCUUAGCUCCGGGAUAGCUCCGGGAAACCGGAAUUAAUACCGGAUAUGACCUAGGCCGACAUCGGCUGUGGUGGAAAGUUUUUCGGCUGGGGAUGGACUCGCGGCCUAUCAGCUUGUUGGUGGGGUAAUGGCCUACCAAGGCGACGACGGGUAGCCGGCCUGAGAGGGCGACCGGCCACGACUGGGACUGAGACACGGCCCAGACUCCUACGGGAGGCAGCAGUGGGAAUCUUGCGCAAUGGGCGAAAGCCUGACGCAGCGACGCCGCGUGUGGGAUGACGGCCUUCGGGUUGUAACCACUGUCGCGAGGGACGAAAAAAUGACGGUACCUCGAAAGGAAGCACCGGCUAACUCUGUGCCAGCAGCCGC
RNAcentral lists this ribosomal RNA (470 nucleotides) under uncultured bacterium. RNAcentral's name for it is "SSU rRNA". It matches the Rfam family "Bacterial small subunit ribosomal RNA", at positions 26 to 518 of the family's 1533-position model. The record is from RNAcentral.